Rhizoclosmatium globosum is the source of this 72-nucleotide transfer RNA. It matches the Rfam family "tRNA". Rfam says of the family: Transfer RNA (tRNA) molecules are approximately 80 nucleotides in length. Their secondary structure includes four short double-helical elements and three loops (D, anti-codon, and T loops). NCBI's taxonomy places the organism in Eukaryota, Fungi, Chytridiomycota, Chytridiomycetes, Chytridiales, Chytriomycetaceae. The record is from Rfam.
GGCCUUAUGGUCUAGUAGUAUGAUUCUCGCUUUGGGUGCGAGAGGUCCCGGGUUCAAUUCCCGGUGAGGCCC